This 773-nucleotide long non-coding RNA is filed under the name Bos indicus x Bos taurus (hybrid cattle). RNAcentral describes it as "lncRNA (ENSBIXG00005018684.1)". The record is from RNAcentral. Lineage: Eukaryota; Metazoa; Chordata; Mammalia; Artiodactyla; Bovidae.
GGGGGCUGAGGAGCCUCUCUGUCGAGACAGCCUCAGUGUAGUGGACCUCUGCCAGCCGGCGGAUCGCGCCCUUCCUGUGGUGGGCUCUCCAGGCUGGGCCUGGGCUCGAAACAGCUCGCACUCCAGUGCUGGGGAGAGGCGCUGCGAGCUGGAGCCGGAGCCGAAACUCAAGUUGUGACCCGAGCCGGCAGCUGUGCCUUUAAGCCGCGUUCCCAUUCGGGGAAACCGACGCCAGCGCUCGAGGGUCGGGAGGCGCUGGAGAGGCCCCUCGUUCCGUACUCCCCUCUUUCCUCCCCCUCCCCUCCCCUCCCCCGCCCCCUCUUCCCUCCCCUCUCGGCCGUCCGGCCGCCUCGCCGCCAUCCGUCACCUCGCCGCCGCCUGCCGCACUCCCGGAGCGAGCGAGACGAGCGAGCCACGGCGAUGGUGCCGCCCGCGGCGCAGCCAUGGAGCCCGCCCGAGGAGCCCGCGCGCGCCGCUGCCAGCCUGCCCGCAGCCCGCCGCCUGCGCGCCAGCUCCCCGCGUCCCGGGCCAGCUGCUGCCGCUCCGCCAACCUUCACCCGCCCCACCGCCCGGCGCCACUGAGCCCCACGCCCGUGCCGGGCUCGGGAACACGGGCGCCCUAGUCCCGCCGCCGUCGCCGCCGCCACCGCCGCCGCGCCGCGGAAGAGCAGGAGGAGGAAGAGGAGGCGGAGGAGGAAGGUAAGAGGCGCGCUGCUUCCAGGGGGGCGCGCCCGCAGUCUCAGACCGGCUGGGGGUGAGUCGCGGCGGGAGCG